This 283-nucleotide ribosomal RNA is filed under the name uncultured bacterium. RNAcentral's name for it is "partial 16S ribosomal RNA". It matches the Rfam family "Bacterial small subunit ribosomal RNA", at positions 30 to 297 of the family's 1533-position model. The record is from RNAcentral.
AGUGAACGCUGGCGGCAGGCCUAACACAUGCAAGUCGAGCGGCAGCGGGUUCCCGCGAGGGGAUGCCGGCGGGCGGCGGACGGGUGAGGAACACAUCGGAAUCUGCCUGGUUGUGGGGGAUAACGUAGGGAAACUUACGCUAAUACCGCAUGCGACCCUGAGUCGACGGACUGGGGGUGAAAGUGAGGGACCUUCGGCCUCACGCGACCAGAUGAGCCGAUGUCGGAUUAGCAGUUGGCGGGGUAACGGCCCGCCAAGGCGACGAUCCGUAGCUGGUCUGAGA